UGGGGAAUAUUGCACAAUGGGGGAAACCCUGAUGCAGCGACGCCGCGUGAACGAAGAAGGUAUUCGUAUCGUAAAGUUCUGUCCUAUGGGAAGAUAAUGACAGUACCAUAGAAGAAAGCUCCGGCUAAAUACGUGCCAGCAGCCGCGGUAAUACGUAUGGAGCGAGCGUUGUCCGGAAUUAUUGGGCGUAAAGGGUACGCAGGCGGUUUAAUAAGUCGAAUGUUAAAGAUCGGGGCUCAACCCCGCAAAGCAUUGGAAACUGAUAAACUUGAGUAGUGGAGAAGAAAGUGGAAUUCCUAGUGUAGUGGUGAAAUACGUAGAUAUUAGGAGGAAUACCAGUAGCGAAGGCGACUUUCUGGACACAAACUGACGCUGAGGUACGAAAGCGUGGGGAGCAAACAGG
This 403-nucleotide ribosomal RNA is filed under the name bacterium. RNAcentral describes it as "partial 16S ribosomal RNA". It matches the Rfam family "Bacterial small subunit ribosomal RNA", at positions 355 to 776 of the family's 1533-position model. The record is from RNAcentral.